AUGAACGCUGGCGGCGUGCCUCAUACAUGCCAGUCGAGCGAACAGACGAGGAGCUUGCUCCUCUGACGUUAGCGGCGGACGGGUGAGUAACACGUGGAUAACCUACCUAUAAGACUGGGAUAACUUCGGGAAACCGGAGCUAAUACCGGAUAAUAUAUUGAACCGCAUGGUUCAAUAGUGAAAGACGGUUUUGCUGUCACUUAUAGAUGGAUCCGCGCCGCAUUAGCUAGUUGGUAAGGUAACGGCUUACCAAGGCAACGAUGCGUAGCCGACCUGAGAGGGUGAUCGGCCACACUGGAACUGAGACACGGUCCAGACUCCUACGGGAGGCAGCAGUAGGGAAUCUUCCGCAAUGGGCGAAAGCCUGACGGAGCAACGCCGCGUGAGCGAUGAAGGUCUUCGGAUCGUAAAACUCUGUUAUUAGGGAAGAACAAAUGUGUAAGUAACUAUGCACGUCUUGACGGUACCUAAUCAGAAAGCCACGGCUAACUACGUG
RNAcentral lists this ribosomal RNA (496 nucleotides) under uncultured bacterium. RNAcentral describes it as "partial 16S ribosomal RNA". It matches the Rfam family "Bacterial small subunit ribosomal RNA", at positions 29 to 507 of the family's 1533-position model. The record is from RNAcentral.